UACGGAGGGGGUUAGCGUUGUUCGGAAUGACUGGGCGUAAAGCGCGCGUAGGCGGAUCAUCAAGUCAGAGGUGAAAUCCCAGGGCUCAACCUUGGAACUGCCUUUGAAACUCCCGGUCUUGAGGUCGAGAGAGGUGAGUGGAAUUCCGAGUGUAGAGGUGAAAUUCGUAGAUAUUCGGAGGAACACCAGUGGCGAAGGCGGCUCACUGGCUCGAUACUGACGCUGAGGUGCGAAAGCGUGGGGAGCAAACAGG
This 253-nucleotide ribosomal RNA is filed under the name uncultured bacterium. Its description in RNAcentral is "partial 16S ribosomal RNA". It matches the Rfam family "Bacterial small subunit ribosomal RNA", at positions 524 to 776 of the family's 1533-position model. The record is from RNAcentral.